This 207-nucleotide ribosomal RNA is filed under the name uncultured bacterium. Its description in RNAcentral is "partial 16S ribosomal RNA". It matches the Rfam family "Bacterial small subunit ribosomal RNA", at positions 568 to 774 of the family's 1533-position model. The record is from RNAcentral.
CGCGUAGGUGGUUUUGUAAGUCUGGAGUGAAACCCCCGUUUUCAAGGCGGGGCCUGCUUUGGAGACUGCAGGACUUGAGUGAUGGAGAGGAUAGCGGAAUUCCCGGUGUAGCGGUGAAAUGCGUAGAGAUCGGGAGGAACACCAGUGGCGAAGGCGGCUAUCUGGACAUAGACUGACACUGAGGCGCGAAAGCGUGGGGAGCAAACA